RNAcentral lists this ribosomal RNA (461 nucleotides) under uncultured Clostridium sp. RNAcentral describes it as "bacterial SSU rRNA". It matches the Rfam family "Bacterial small subunit ribosomal RNA", at positions 8 to 484 of the family's 1533-position model. The record is from RNAcentral. Lineage: Bacteria; Bacillati; Bacillota; Clostridia; Eubacteriales; Clostridiaceae.
AGAGUUUGAUCCUGGCUCAGGACGAACGCUGGCGGCGUGCCUAACACAUGCAAGUCGAGCGAUGAAGUUUCCUGCGGGAAAUGGAUUAGCGGCGGACGGGUGAGUAACACGUGGGUAACCUGCCUUAUAGUGGGGGAUAGCCUUUCGAAAGGAAGAUUAAUACCGCAUAAGAUUGUAGUAUCGCAUGAUAUAGCAAUUAAAGGAGCAAUUCGCUAUAAGAUGGACCCGCGUCGCAUUAGCUAGUUGGUGAGGUAAUGGCUCACCAAGGCGACGAUGCGUAGCCGACCUGAGAGGGUGAUCGGCCACAUUGGGACUGAGACACGGCCCAGACUCCUACGGGAGGCAGCAGUGGGGAAUAUUGCACAAUGGGCGAAAGCCUGAUGCAGCAACGCCGCGUGAGUGAUGACGGCCUUCGGGUUGUAAAACUCUGUCUUCAGGGACGAUAAUGACGGUACCUGAGG